Molecule: ribosomal RNA, 496 nt
Filed under: uncultured bacterium
Lineage: Bacteria
Description: partial 16S ribosomal RNA
Rfam family: Bacterial small subunit ribosomal RNA
Source: RNAcentral
GAUGAACGCUGGCGGCGUGCCUAAUUCAUGCAAGUCGAGCGAACGGACGAGAAGCUUGCUUCUCUGAUGUUAGCGGCGGACGGGUGAGUAACACGUGGAUAACCUACCUAUAAGACUGGGAUAACUUCGGGAAACCGGAGCUAAUACCGGAUAAUAUUUUGAACCGCAUGGUUCAAAAGUAAAAGACGGUCUUGCUGUCACUUAUAGAUGGAUCCGCGCUGCAUUAGCUAGUUGGUAAGGUAACGGCUUACCAAGGCAACGAUGCAUAGCCGACCUGAGAGGGGGAUCGGCCACCUUGGAAUUGAGACAGGGCCCAGACUCCUAGGGGAGGCAGCAGUGGGGAAUUUUCCGCAAGGGGCGAAAGCCUGACGGAGCAACGCCGGGGGAGUGAUGAAGGUCUUCGGAUCGUAAAACUCUUUUAUUAGGGAAAAAAAUAUGUGUAAGUAACUGUGCACAUCUUGACGGGACCUAAGCAGAAAGCCCCGGCUAACUACGU